This 433-nucleotide ribosomal RNA is filed under the name Thalassiosira minuscula. RNAcentral describes it as "partial Eukaryotic large subunit ribosomal RNA". It matches the Rfam family "Eukaryotic large subunit ribosomal RNA", at positions 12 to 435 of the family's 3401-position model. Lineage: Eukaryota; Bacillariophyta; Thalassiosirophyceae; Thalassiosirales; Thalassiosiraceae. The record is from RNAcentral.
CAAGCGAGAAUACCCGCUGAAUUUAAGCAUAUAAUUAAGCGGUGGAAAAGAAACCAAAUGGGAUUCCCUGAGUAACGGCGAGUGAAAGGGGAUUAGUCCAGCGCCAAGUCUUGACGUUUAGGCGUUCAAGAGAUGCGGCGUUAAUGUGUUGGCGCAUCAUGUGUUGCCGUAUGUUUCAAGUUCCUUUGACAGGGACAUCCAGAGCGGGUGCUAGGCCCAUAGAGACACUCGGCUGAUACAUGCAGGCCAAUGCAUUCUAGAGUCAGGUUGCUUGAGAGUGCAGCUUAAAGUCGGUGGUAAACUCCAUCCAAGACUAAAUAUCACAGCGAGACCGAUAGCAAACAAGUACCGUGAGGGAAAGUUGCAAAGCACUUUGAAGAGAGAGUUAAAUAGCACGUGAAACCACUGGGAGGCAAACAGAUGGAACCACGAA